This 474-nucleotide ribosomal RNA is filed under the name uncultured organism. RNAcentral describes it as "partial 16S ribosomal RNA". It matches the Rfam family "Bacterial small subunit ribosomal RNA", at positions 335 to 800 of the family's 1533-position model. The record is from RNAcentral.
ACUCCUGCGGGAGGCAGCAGUGGGGAAUUUUGGACAAUGGGCGAAAGCCUGAUCCAGCCAUGCCGCGUGCAGGAUGAAGGCCUUCGGGUUGUAAACUGCUUUUGUACGGAACGAAACGGCCUUUUCUAAUAAAGAGGGCUAAUGACGGUACCGUAAGAAUAAGCACCGGCUAACUACGUGCCAGCAGCCGCGGUAAUACGUAGGGUGCAAGCGUUAAUCGGAAUUACUGGGCGUAAAGCGUGCGCAGGCGGUUAUGUAAGACAGUUGUGAAAUCCCCGGGCUCAACCUGGGAACUGCAUCUGUGACUGCAUAGCUAGAGUACGGUAGAGGGGGAUGGAAUUCCGCGUGUAGCAGUGAAAUGCGUAGAUAUGCGGAGGAACACCGAUGGCGAAGGCAAUCCCCUGGACCUGUACUGACGCUCAUGCACGAAAGCGUGGGGAGCAAACAGGAUUAGAUACCCCAGUAGUCCCAUGA